Molecule: long non-coding RNA, 530 nt
Organism: Pygocentrus nattereri (red-bellied piranha)
Lineage: Eukaryota; Metazoa; Chordata; Actinopteri; Characiformes; Serrasalmidae
Exons: 3
Source: RefSeq, a predicted model, not a curated record
CGUUGACCCUAAUGCUAAGGACGACACGUACACAGCUCUUGACCCCAUGUCCAGGUCCUCUGAUGAUGUGUACAACACACUUGCAACUGUUCAUUGCAGUCCUUCUGAUGAUCUGUACUCAGCUCUGGAUCCUCAGUCUCGCUCUCCUGAGUACGACACUCUAGCAUUGCAGCUGUCACCUUUUUUGGCUGUCGGUACCUAUCUGCUGAGUCGGGAGUCCUUCGGGCCAUCCAGUCCCUAAAGGCCUCUUUCUUCAGCUUGACAGACCUCACUCACCACCAGGUGUCCUCCAGGGGGUUCUUGGGUUAAUGCCCUGACAGGCACCCCCAAGCUUUUGGCCACAGCUACGCCUGGCAGCUUCCACAAUGGAGGCUUUGAACAGUGACCAUUCAGACUCCAUCUCCCCUAGCUCAUGAGAAAAGCUCUUCUGGAGGUGUAAGUUGAAAUCAUUCCAAACAGGGGCCUCCAACAGUCCUUUCCCGCACACCCUUACUAUUCGCUUGGGGCUACUGGGUCUGACCAUCAGUCUU